This 467-nucleotide ribosomal RNA is filed under the name uncultured bacterium. RNAcentral's name for it is "partial 16S ribosomal RNA". It matches the Rfam family "Bacterial small subunit ribosomal RNA", at positions 28 to 507 of the family's 1533-position model. The record is from RNAcentral.
GACGAACGCUGGCGGCGUGCUUAACACAUGCAAGUCGAACGGAAAGGCCCUGCUUUUGUGGGGUGCUCGAGUGGCGAACGGGUGAGUAACACGUGAGUAACCUGCCCUUGACUUUGGGAUAACUUCAGGAAACUGGGGCUAAUACCGGAUAGGAGCUCCUGCUGCAUGGUGGGGGUUGGAAAGUUUCGGCGGUUGGGGAUGGACUCGCGGCUUAUCAGCUUGUGGUGGGGUAGUGGCUUACCAAGGCUUUGACGGGUAGCCGGCCUGAGAGGGGGACCGGCCACAUUGGGACUGAGGUACGGCCCAGACGCCUACGGGAGGCAGCAGUGGGGAAUAUUGCACAAUGGGCGGAAGCCUGAUGCAGCAACGCCGCGUGCGGGAUGACGGCCUUCGGGUUGUAAACCGCUUUCGCCUGUGACGAAGCGUGAGUGACGGUAAUGGGUAAAGAAGCACCGGCUAACUACGUG